Molecule: long non-coding RNA, 1681 nt
Organism: Cygnus olor (mute swan)
Lineage: Eukaryota; Metazoa; Chordata; Aves; Anseriformes; Anatidae
Exons: 4
Source: RefSeq, a predicted model, not a curated record
UGGGCUCGGCAACGGCCGGGAGAGGGCUCUGAGUAAACGGUGUUGGUGUGCGCGUGGCUGGGCCUCAGCCUCUGUCUUCUCCGCCGGAUUCAGGCCGUUAGGAAGGGCUGCGUCGACGUUAGCGCGUUAAAAACUGCCGGUUGUUCUGGGCUGAGCUCCAGAAGUUCAGGUCUCCUCAGUCCGGCUGGUCAGAUCCGCACAGAACUGAGCGUCGACACGGCUCAUAGGUGUCGUCAGCCUCCCUGUCGGUGAUGCAAAGUUCCUAUAACCACUUCCUUGUCAAGGGUCAGGAUUACUCCAUCCCUCCUUCUCUGAGAAUGUUUAGAAACCACACCUGCUCCAGAGGAUCAAAAGAGGUUUGGAGGACAUACCAUCUGUAUGACAGGACUACACAUAGAUUGCUCACAUUUGACAGAUGUGAGCCAGCUUUCUUCCUAGAUUUGUGAGACAUAACAUGUGAAGGUGGAUAUUGGCUUUCACAGUGCAAAGCUCCUGGAAUCAAGGUGAAAUGUGAAAAUCUCAGCUUCUUUGGAAAACAAACAAACAAACCAAAACCAAAACCACCAAAACAUUUCCAUCUUCUAGGGUUGUGAGGUGCUGAUAUCAAACAAAGGUGGCUAGUGAAGCGGAUCUUACUUUGCCAAUUCAAACCUUGCUGCUUUAGAGCAGGGCUGGUGCCUGCCCACCGUGGAGACGUGAGGCUGCCAGCUGCCAGCUCAGGAGAUGCGCAGUGUCCCAGCAUGCUGCCUGGAGAGCAGAGCUCCAUAACCUCAUCAGUUGUAGCAGUGAAAAUCAGCCCAACGCCCAAGAGAAAAUAAAUGUAGGAAACACACUGUAAAGAACGCCUACUGUGGUUUCUCUCUUUCUGGGUGUUUGAGGUGGGUGAAAUUGAAAUAUCCUCCAAAGCCUUCCUUUAGGUUAUGUUGGGAUGCAAUUCCCCUGGUUCCCCCUCGGACUCCCAUAGCAUUCAGAACAGACUGAAACUCCCAACAGCACUGAUUCCCCAAAUGGCUUGAAGAAACACAAUCAGCAGCAGAGACCAAGGGAGAGGGCUUAGAGUUUGAGAGUGUUUCAUAAUAAAUUUCUGGAAACCCUGAAGACUUGCACUCAGAUAUGAACUUGCUGUUCUUCUUUCACUUUUAGCAGAUGUUUAUCCACUGCACAACCACCACUAACUGCUGUUCACAAAGCGAUUAACGAGUGCAGGAGUCACAUAGAGCUGUGUUUUAACCAUUUAAAAGUGCAAUCAUAAUUUUACCAUACAGCAAACUGCUCUUGGUUACUUGGCUACUUUUUUAUGCUACCACUUCUCUGAAGGAUCCUCCAAAUUCAAUGGAAUAUUCCGGCACAUUUAUUCAGCUUUGAUUCCCUGAAGAAAUCCCAGAAAACAGGGUUUAGAGACUGUCUGAAGCAGAAGCAGCUAUUCUGCGGACAGAAAUUCAGAGACUCCAGGCCAAGUACAUCGAUUAGUUACUGCGAGGACCAGGCAGGAAAACUUGGGCAGCCAGGCUAUGGCUUAGGGCCAGGAAAACAGCUGCUUCUAAGUUCUUAAAAGCUAGAUGCCUUUGUGUAACACAAGUCGUGCAGAAAUUCUUAACUCUUCAGUCUGAUCCUAUGUCUUUUGUUUUUUUUUUUAAAUGAAAGCUCAUCAACCUGCUUGAAAAUAUGUUCCAUACCUAUC